RNAcentral lists this ribosomal RNA (1547 nucleotides) under Salmonella enterica subsp. enterica serovar Thompson. Its description in RNAcentral is "partial 23S ribosomal RNA". It matches the Rfam family "Bacterial large subunit ribosomal RNA", at positions 709 to 2236 of the family's 2925-position model. The record is from RNAcentral. Lineage: Bacteria; Pseudomonadati; Pseudomonadota; Gammaproteobacteria; Enterobacterales; Enterobacteriaceae.
AUAGACCCGAAACCCGGUGAUCUAGCCAUGGGCAGGUUGAAGGUUGGGUAACACUAACUGGAGGACCGAACCGACUAAUGUUGAAAAAUUAGCGGAUGACCUGUGGCUGGGGGUGAAAGGCCAAUCAAACCGGGAGAUAGCUGGUUCUCCCCGAAAGCUAUUUAGGUAGCGCCUCGUGAAUUCAUCUCCGGGGGUAGAGCACUGUUUCGGCUAGGGGGCCAUCCCGGCUUACCAACCCGAUGCAAACUGCGAAUACCGGAGAAUGUUAUCACGGGAGACACACGGCGGGUGCUAACGUCCGUCGUGAAGAGGGAAACAACCCAGACCGCCAGCUAAGGUCCCAAAGUCAUGGUUAAGUGGGAAACGAUGUGGGAAGGCCCAGACAGCCAGGAUGUUGGCUUAGAAGCAGCCAUCAUUUAAAGAAAGCGUAAUAGCUCACUGGUCGAGUCGGCCUGCGCGGAAGAUGUAACGGGGCUAAACCAUGCACCGAAGCUGCGGCAGCGACACUCAGGUGUUGUUGGGUAGGGGAGCGUUCUGUAAGCCUGUGAAGGUGUGUCGUGAGGCAUGCUGGAGGUAUCAGAAGUGCGAAUGCUGACAUAAGUAACGAUAAAGCGGGUGAAAAGCCCGCUCGCCGGAAGACCAAGGGUUCCUGUCCAACGUUAAUCGGGGCAGGGUGAGUCGACCCCUAAGGCGAGGCCGAAAGGCGUAGUCGAUGGGAAACGGGUUAAUAUUCCCGUACUUGGUGUUACUGCGAAGGGGGGACGGAGAAGGCUAUGUUGGCCGGGCGACGGUUGUCCCGGUUUAAGCGUGUAGGUGUGUGUUCCAGGUAAAUCCGGUUCACUUUAACACUGAGGCGUGAUGACGAGGCACUACGGUGCUGAAGCAACAAAUGCCCUGCUUCCAGGAAAAGCCUCUAAGCAUCAGGUAACAUCAAAUCGUACCCCAAACCGACACAGGUGGUCAGGUAGAGAAUACCAAGGCGCUUGAGAGAACUCGGGUGAAGGAACUAGGCAAAAUGGUGCCGUAACUUCGGGAGAAGGCACGCUGACACGUAGGUGAAGUGAUUUACUCAUGGAGCUGAAGUCAGUCGAAGAUACCAGCUGGCUGCAACUGUUUAUUAAAAACACAGCACUGUGCAAACACGAAAGUGGACGUAUACGGUGUGACGCCUGCCCGGUGCCGGAAGGUUAAUUGAUGGGGUCAGCGCAAGCGAAGCUCCUGAUCGAAGCCCCGGUAAACGGCGGCCGUAACUAUAACGGUCCUAAGGUAGCGAAAUUCCUUGUCGGGUAAGUUCCGACCUGCACGAAUGGCGUAAUGAUGGCCAGGCUGUCUCCACCCGAGACUCAGUGAAAUUGAACUCGCUGUGAAGAUGCAGUGUACCCGCGGCAAGACGGAAAGACCCCGUGAACCUUUACUAUAGCUUGACACUGAACAUUGAGCCUUGAUGUGUAGGAUAGGUGGGAGGCUUUGAAGCGUGGACGCCAGUCUGCGUGGAGCCGACCUUGAAAUACCACCCUUUAAUGUUUGAUGUUCUAACGUGGACCCGU